This 494-nucleotide ribosomal RNA is filed under the name uncultured bacterium. RNAcentral describes it as "partial 16S ribosomal RNA". It matches the Rfam family "Bacterial small subunit ribosomal RNA", at positions 28 to 507 of the family's 1533-position model. The record is from RNAcentral.
GACGAACGCUGGCGGCGUGCUUAACACAUGCAAGUCGAACGGACAGGCCUGCUUUCCCUUGUGGUUUGCGGGUACUCGAGUGGCGAACGGGUGCGUAACACGUGAGUGAUUUGCCCCCAACUUGGGUAUAAGCCUGGGAAACUGGGUCUAAUUACCGAUUGGACUGCAGGGUGGUGCCUGUGGUGGAAAACGUUUUUCUAGUGGUUGGGGAUGAGCUCGCGGCUUAUCAGCUUGUUGGUGGGGCAAAGGCCUACCAAGGCGGCGACGGGUAGCCGGCGUGUGAGGGGGGACGGGCACAUUGAGACUGGGUUCCGGCCCAGACGGGAGCGAGAGGCAGGAGUGGGGAAGAAAGCACAAUGAGCGGAAGCCUGAUGCAGCGACGGAGCGUGGAAGAUGACGGCCUUCGAGUUGUAAACUCCUUGCGACCAAGAGAAAGCCACCUGGUUGGAAGGGUGGUGACGGUAGUUGAAGAAGAAGCACCGGCUAACUACGUG